GUGGGCCCAAAAUGGGAUUGUCCGCGGGUUCCAUAAUGGCCCAAUGUCAAUUGCCCACAUGGAUUUCAUGUGGGAUUGUACUUGCCAACAGGUGGGCCCCAACUGGGCAACAUGCGCAAGACCCAUCUUGGCCCCAGCUUUAUUUUUUAUGUGGGUACUACAAGGUUACUACAUGGGCUGAAAUAUGGGUUGUAAGUGGGUUUGUCCACGGGUUCCAUGUUGGCCCCGUGCAACUUACCCAUGUGGGUUUUAUGCAGGAUUUCACUGGGUUUUAGGUGGGGCCCAACUAGGGAUCAUAUGCAAAACCUAUCUGGGUGUUAGGGUGGGCCCAACAAGACAAUAUGCUUAAAGCCCACC
Sinocyclocheilus rhinocerous is the source of this 357-nucleotide long non-coding RNA. RefSeq lists it as uncharacterized. NCBI's taxonomy places the organism in Eukaryota, Metazoa, Chordata, Actinopteri, Cypriniformes, Cyprinidae. The record is from RefSeq and is a predicted model, not a curated record. The transcript has 2 exons.